AAGUGAGCAGAUUUGAAGAAACACGUGCAAUGCAUGUGCAACUUAAGAAGUAUUUGCAAGGUAUGUGCACAACUCAUGGGCAGCCUUGGGGGGAUAUGUUAUACAUGUUAUUUGGGCCUUAAUGAUGUAUUUUGUAAACCCAUUUGUUUGAGUUAAGCUUAUACUAUCUUCUUUACUUUAAUACUACUAUUUUAAUUAUUUAGAUCUAGUAUUUGGGCCUCAGUGUGCUACUCCCUUUGCUAUGGGCUUUUAAUUCGGCCAGCCUUAUUUGGCACUUUAGGG
Molecule: long non-coding RNA, 282 nt
Filed under: Manihot esculenta (cassava)
Lineage: Eukaryota; Viridiplantae; Streptophyta; Magnoliopsida; Malpighiales; Euphorbiaceae
Description: long non-coding RNA (MESC_LNC011925)
Source: RNAcentral